RNAcentral lists this ribosomal RNA (254 nucleotides) under uncultured bacterium. RNAcentral describes it as "partial 16S ribosomal RNA". It matches the Rfam family "Bacterial small subunit ribosomal RNA", at positions 524 to 776 of the family's 1533-position model. The record is from RNAcentral.
UACGGGGGGAGCAAGCGUUGUUCGGAUUUACUGGGCGUAAAGGGCGCGUAGGCGGCCACCGCAAGUCGACUGUGAAAUCUCCGGGCUUAACCCGGAAAGGUCAGCCGAUACUGCGGGGCUAGAGUGCAGAAGGGGCAACUGGAAUUCUCGGUGUAGCGGUGAAAUGCGUAGAUAUCCGGAGGAACACCGGUGGCGAAGGCGGCUUCCUGGACCGACACUGACGCUGAGGCGCGAAAGCUAGGGGAGCAAACGGG